Molecule: long non-coding RNA, 693 nt
Filed under: Mytilus galloprovincialis (Mediterranean mussel)
Lineage: Eukaryota; Metazoa; Mollusca; Bivalvia; Mytilida; Mytilidae
Source: RNAcentral
GUUUGUAAGUAAAGUACGUUAUAUGAAUUUCGGAACCACUGUAAUGCAGAUGGCUCAGGAUUAUAUAAAAAAGUAGUGAAUAGCCUGGGUUCAUACCAGUGGUGUAAAAUAGAGAGUGCUGUCACACUUUCAAUUUUAGUAAUUAACAGUGAACGUGAAAGGAAGAAGGUGACAGGGAAAAAGAAAGUGACGUCAUAUCAGUAAGUAAAAGUAAUGACAUUACACAGGUAAAUUAGCGUCAUGGUGUAAAAGUUAAAGUAGUCUGAUUUAAAACUGUUUACUAAGGUGUUUAACGUUUUAGGAUAAGGUGUGUAAGGGUAAGGGGUGUUAGGGUUAUAAUUUGAAUAGGAGUACAGGGUGAUGUUUUUUAAAUCGAAAAAUAAACAGAAUAUAGAAAUAUUUUUAUAAGUAUUAAGAUUAUGAUGGCAUCUUAUAUUCAUUGAUCUGAAUACCUUUGUCACAAAAGAAAAACAAAAAUGGAAGGACCUGCCAACAAGUGAGGUGAACCAAAUUAUUGACACUACAAGUGUGGAUGAAAUAUUUUGUGAUAGUUACCUACUAAUCUUGAAGGUCAAGGAAGUUGGUAACAAGUAAGGUGUGGGCUUAUAGUGUCUUGUAGUACGAAACGAGAACGUUGGAAGGACCGUUCAUCAGACGUACGAUCGCCUACACCCUAAUUAGACAGAAAACCGC